This 1393-nucleotide long non-coding RNA is filed under the name Gallus gallus (chicken). Its description in RNAcentral is "lncRNA (ENSGALG00010006844.1)". Lineage: Eukaryota; Metazoa; Chordata; Aves; Galliformes; Phasianidae. The record is from RNAcentral.
UUUGCUUGGUGAUUGUUUCCUAUGGGAGUUUCCAGUGAGUCCUGAUCCUUGGAAAGGGACUUCUCAGCAGCAGACUGUGCUCAGAGUCUAGGUAUGACCUUUGGAAUAUUAAACAUUCCCAUGGCCUCAAAUAGUUCUUGAGUGCCUGCUGAUGCUGAAGGCUGUCACAAUCAUCUUGUGAGGGUUUUUCUUGUCUGAGAUAGAUUGCUAAGACCAGUGAAAUGAACUAUGCUGGAAAGAUUCCUAGCAUUGUCUGUGAAAGCCUCUGUAAGUAACUGCCUGACAUUGGAGUCUCAAAGCUAGAUGUGAUGAACCUAGUGCUCAGGGAGGACAUACACUGGAUAUUGCCACAAACACUGGAGAAUUCAUCAGGGAUAACUGUCUGUAGAAAAGUUUUACUUUUUCCUCAUAGUUAAUGUGGAUAAUACUUUCUUAAGAUUGUUCUAUAUGAAAUUGAAUGCUCCUUCAUUCACUUUGAAUGUGCUCCACAUCAAAAAAUAACUCAAGUAUCUAUUUCAAACUUUCCUAUCUGACUUAGCACAAUGUAUAACUAAGAUAACAUUUUUAUUUUCUCCUGUUAUUCUUGUAUUUCCUUUGCGACCUUUUGGUUACUCAAAUAUUUUAAAGACCUUUUGUUUACCACUGUGAUAGCAUUUAUUUUUAACAGUAGGCUUCCAGCUGUCUAACUCUAAUCCAACAACCAGAUGCUGAGCACUGCUGCAGCAAGAUGUGUUUAGCUUCCAGACCAUGAACAAGCUAGAAUAUAUUUCACAGUUCAGAACCUUUGAGUGUUUACGUCUUAACACUUGUUGUGUCACAGUGCCCUUGCUGCAUCUGUUUUCUUUGAUUUUUUUGUAAGAGCUGGAAGAAAGACUGGGAAAUUCCAAGUUGCAUUCUAGUGGGGGCUCUCCUCUUUCCCCACUCCAGAUGUAUUUGCAGACCAGAAUGAAUGCAAAUGCAACUGCCAAUGCAAUGUCAUGUUCUCUGUGACCUGGGGCUAAGAAGUCAGGAAAGGCUUGUCAUACUCGUUGAAUUCAAAGAAUUAUUUGCUCUUUUAUUAUUAUUGUUAUUAGUGAAAUAAUCAACGCUGGUUUACUUCUUUAUAUGCUCUAUCCUCUCUGAGAAAUCAUAUGCACCAGGAAUAUGCAGCUACAACUUCUGCAAGGAAAUCUUAGAGGGUCAUGCUUAUGCUUUUCCUUGCAGAAUGAGGCAAUAUUGCUAUUACUGUUGGCUGAUCUUUCAGAGCACAAAAUUAGAGGUUUUCAGAUGAAAAACAUCCUGGACAUAUGCCACGCAUUCAAAAUAAAAAAAAUCUUCAAGAUACAAAGCAGAUGUGGCUAAAGAAAUUAAAGCAGUCAUGCUUUAAAUAAAAUAAAGAAGUCAUGGAUUAUUU